UACGAAGGGGGCUAGCGUUGCUCGGAAUUACUGGGCGUAAAGGGCGCGUAGGCGGAUCGUUAAGUCAGAGGUGAAAGCCCAGGGCUCAACCCUGGAAUUGCCUUUGAUACUGGCGAUCUUGAGUACGGGAGAGGUGUGUGGAACUCCGAGUGUAGAGGUGAAAUUCGUAGAUAUUCGGAAGAACACCAGUGGCGAAAGCGGCUUCCUGGUCCAGCACCGACGCUCAUGCACGAAAGCGUGGGGAGCAAACAGG
RNAcentral lists this ribosomal RNA (253 nucleotides) under uncultured bacterium. RNAcentral describes it as "partial 16S ribosomal RNA". It matches the Rfam family "Bacterial small subunit ribosomal RNA", at positions 524 to 776 of the family's 1533-position model. The record is from RNAcentral.